This 433-nucleotide ribosomal RNA is filed under the name uncultured bacterium. RNAcentral describes it as "partial 16S ribosomal RNA". It matches the Rfam family "Bacterial small subunit ribosomal RNA", at positions 29 to 507 of the family's 1533-position model. The record is from RNAcentral.
AACGAACGCUGGCGGCAUGCCUAACACAUGCAAGUCGAACGAGACCUUCGGGUCUAGUGGCGCACGGGUGCGUAACGCGUGGGAACCUGCCCUUAGGUUCGGAAUAACUCCCCGACAGGGGUGCUAAUACCGGAUAAUGUCUUCGGACCAAAGAUUUAUCGCCUUUGGAGGGGCCCGCGUUGGAUUAGCUAGUUGGUAGGGUAAAAGCCUACCAAGGCGACGAUCCAUAGCUGGUCUGAGAGGAUGAUCAGCCACACUGGGACUGAGACACGGCCCAGACUCCUACGGGAGGCAGCAGUGGGGAAUAUUGGACAAUGGGCGAAAGCCUGAUCCAGCAAUGCCGCGUGAGUGAUGAAGGCCUUAGGGUUGUAAAGCUCUUUUACCCGGGAUGAUAAUGACAGUACCGGGAGAAUAAGCUCCGGCUAACUCCGUG